CACGGGGGGAAACGCGAAGAACCUUACCAACCCUUGACAUGGGACGUAUGGGCUUCAGAGAUGGGGUCCUUCAGCUCGGCUGGCGUCCACACAGGUGCUGCAUGGCUGUCGUCAGCUCGUGUCGUGAGAUGUUGGGUUAAGUCCCGCAACGAGCGCAGCCCCUAUCUUCAGUUGCCAUCAUUCAGUUGGGCACUCUGAAGAAACUGCCGGUGACAAGCCGGAGGAAGGCGGGGAUGACGUCAAGUCCUCAUGGCCCUUACGGGUUGGGCUACACACGUGCUACAAUGGUGGUGACAAUGGGGAGCGAGGCGGCGACGCCAAGCCAAUCUCAAAAAGCCAUCUCAGUUCGGAUUGCACUCUGCAACUCGAGUGCAUGAAGUUGGAAUCGCUAGUAAUCGUGGAUCAGCAUGCCACGGUGAAUACGUUCCCGGGUCUUGUACACACGC
Molecule: ribosomal RNA, 446 nt
Filed under: uncultured soil bacterium
Lineage: Bacteria
Description: bacterial SSU rRNA
Rfam family: Bacterial small subunit ribosomal RNA
Source: RNAcentral